This 123-nucleotide ribosomal RNA is filed under the name Triticum aestivum (bread wheat). RNAcentral describes it as "partial small subunit ribosomal RNA". The record is from RNAcentral. Lineage: Eukaryota; Viridiplantae; Streptophyta; Magnoliopsida; Poales; Poaceae.
AUGCUUACUUUAACUAGUUAUUUUGGUUUUCUACUGGCUGCUUUAACUAUAACCCCAGCUCUAUUUAUUGGCCAUUAUCGCUUAGCUUUCGACUUUUCGGGAAUAUAUUGGCGGAUGAAUUAG